Long non-coding RNA from Triticum dicoccoides, 264 nucleotides. RefSeq lists it as uncharacterized. NCBI's taxonomy places the organism in Eukaryota, Viridiplantae, Streptophyta, Magnoliopsida, Poales, Poaceae. The transcript is spliced from 3 exons. The record is from RefSeq and is a predicted model, not a curated record.
CAUACCUGAUUUGUUUGUUGUCCUUGAAGCAAAUACCAUGACAUGAGCUUGAAGAAUUCAAAGAUACAGAAGGUUGACAGAAAGAGGAUACACUGAUUUCAGCUGCGGACACUGAGCUGAGUCUCUCCCUAGCAGGAAUGAUGUCCAUGCUGUUAACCUCUACAAGUUACCCACACUUCAGAUAACCCAAGUGUAGGUUGAUCAGACUGUACAUACACACACAUACACCCUUAUAGUCGGAGGAUCCACGGAGAGCGAUGGAGG